Molecule: ribosomal RNA, 254 nt
Filed under: uncultured bacterium
Lineage: Bacteria
Description: partial 16S ribosomal RNA
Rfam family: Bacterial small subunit ribosomal RNA
Source: RNAcentral
UACGUAGGUGGCAAGCGUUAUCCGGAAUUAUUGGGCGUAAAGCGCGCGCAGGCGGUUUCUUAAGUCUGAUGUGAAAGCCCACGGCUCAACCGUGGAGGGUCAUUGGAAACUGGGGAACUUGAGUGCAGAAGAGAAAAGCGGAAUUCCACGUGUAGCGGUGAAAUGCGUAGAGAUGUGGAGGAACACCAGUGGCGAAGGCGGCUUUUUGGUCUGUAACUGACGCUGAGGCGCGAAAGCGUGGGGGAGCAAACAGG